UAAGUCUCCACCCGGCCAAGGCUAGCCACCAGCCGGUAGCGAGUGUUGCGUGGUGUCGGGUAACCGCCACUGCGAAGCGUACGCAGCGAGUGGAUAGGCCGUACGAUUGAGCACCGAAAGCAUCCUAGUCGCGGUCGUCGACAGGCUUACGGUCCUGGAAGGCAACACUGACCCAUCGUACAGGCUUGAUGGGAAAGGGCCGCCGAUGUCGUAGAACA
RNAcentral lists this non-coding RNA (218 nucleotides) under Halomonas korlensis. Lineage: Bacteria; Pseudomonadati; Pseudomonadota; Gammaproteobacteria; Oceanospirillales; Halomonadaceae. The record is from RNAcentral.